RNAcentral lists this ribosomal RNA (236 nucleotides) under uncultured bacterium. RNAcentral describes it as "partial 16S ribosomal RNA". It matches the Rfam family "Bacterial small subunit ribosomal RNA", at positions 97 to 334 of the family's 1533-position model. The record is from RNAcentral.
GGCGGACGGGUGAGUAAUGCGUAGGAAUUUACCUCAAAGCGGGGGAUAGCCCGGAGAAAUCCGGAUUAAUACCGCAUGUGCUCUACGGAGGAGAGCGGGCCUCUUCUUGAAAGCUCGCACUUUGAGAUAAGCCUACGUCGGAUUAGCUUGUUGGUAGGGUAAAAGCCUACCAAGGCGACGAUCCGUAGCUGGUUUGAGAGGAUGAUCAGCCACACUGGGACUGAGACACGGCCCAG